GGCGAGUAGCGCAGCUUGGUAGCGCAACUGGUUUGGGACCAGUGGGUCGGAGGUUCGAAUC
This 61-nucleotide transfer RNA is filed under the name Salmonella enterica subsp. enterica serovar Inverness str. R8-3668. RNAcentral describes it as "partial tRNA-OTHER". It matches the Rfam family "tRNA", at positions 2 to 59 of the family's 71-position model. Rfam says of the family: Transfer RNA (tRNA) molecules are approximately 80 nucleotides in length. Their secondary structure includes four short double-helical elements and three loops (D, anti-codon, and T loops). Further hydrogen bonds mediate the characteristic L-shaped molecular structure. tRNAs have two regions of fundamental functional importance: the anti-codon, which is responsible for specific mRNA codon recognition, and the 3' end, to which the tRNAs corresponding amino acid is attached (by aminoacyl-tRNA synthetases). tRNAs cope with the degeneracy of the genetic code in two manners: having more than one tRNA (with a specific anti-codon) for a particular amino acid; and 'wobble' base-pairing, i.e. permitting non-standard base-pairing at the 3rd anti-codon position. The record is from RNAcentral. Lineage: Bacteria; Pseudomonadati; Pseudomonadota; Gammaproteobacteria; Enterobacterales; Enterobacteriaceae.